AGUCCUGGAUCAGUUGGAAGCGGGAAACCCUCCUGGGGUGGGAAGGCCCCUCACCUGGCGGAGAAGGGAGGGGCGUUAGGGAGCGGCGAUGGGGGAGGGGGCGCGUCGGCCGAUGACAUCACCUCCCACCCACCCCACUCCCCUGGCCAGACUGGGGUCUGGGAGCCCAAGGGCCCCCAUCUUUGCAAAAAGAGUCCAUUUCAGGGUUUGGAGGCUGACACGCCCUGCUUGGAAGGGACUAAGGGUUGCCAAGCCCGUGUCCUUAUCCGGCUACUGGGGACAAAUAUCUGUUCCCGACCCCUUUCCUCUGCUCCCUGCCACUGAAGCUCCAUGAAGCAGUUCCCCGGCCCCAUUUCUGGUCACAGUGCCUGGUGCACAGCAGGUGCUCAGUGAGGAUGAGCUGCCAGCAAGUUCAAAGCGCAAGGAUCGCUGGUUGCUGGCUUCCGGGGCGGGGUGGGGGUGGGGGGUGGGGUGGAUUUCCGUUGGCGCCCUCCCAAAGACAUAGGACCCUGUGACUCAGCACCCUCAAAUCUGUAGGUGCUGCCAUGGCAGGGUCUGGGAGCAGGAACAGCCCCUCACUGAGCACCUGCUUCGCACCAGACCCAGGCGAGCCUCAGUGAUCUCAGUGGCCACGGUGGUAAAGAGGAGAAAAAUCAAAACGAGUUAUCGCCAGCUUUCCAGGUGGGAAAACUGAAGCUCGGAGAAGUGAAGCAGCUGGGCCACUCAGCCUGGUGGCCACGGAGAGAUGACAACUACCUCCGCGGCUUUCACUGUCCGCAGGUUUCACCUGGAUUGGCCGCGCCAUCUGUGGAGAGACAGAGGACGGAGGUCAAGGUCAGUAGUGGGGGUGAUGGGGGUGGGAACUUCACUUGAGCUCUGCCAGGCAAUCCUGGCCACCUCCCCAGCCUCAGCAUCCCACCAACCUCUGGCAGCAACAAGCAUGCCUCCCCAGGUGUAUCAAUUUGCAAUGACAGCCCAACUCCUGCAGUGCCUGUAUGUGAUGUGACUUUGUGGUUCUUCUCAUCAAGAACUGGAGUCUAUUUCCCCACCUUUUGCAUCUGGACUUGGCCAUGUAACUUGCAUUAACCAAAAGAAUGUGGUGAGUGUGAAGUUGUGGAGUUCUAAGUCUUGGCCUCAAGUGACCUUGUAGCUUCCAUUCUUGCUAUCUUGGAACCCUUGGGAUUGCCAAAGACAAGUUCAGGUGAGCUACUGGAGGACGGAAUAGCUCACCUACAGAGACACCUGCUGACAGCACAUGGGAGUCCUGGCCCAGCUAGCUCCCGCCGAGCCCCAACUGACUGCAACUGCAUGAAUGACUAAGGACAAACCAGCAGAAGAACUGCCCAGCUAAGCCCAGCCUGGGAUUGUUAACCUACAGAAUCAUGAAGAAAUAAAAUGUUUGGGCCAGUCUGUUACUCAUCAGUGGCUGACUGAUACACCAAGGCAGCUAUUUUCAGUUGGCUCUCUUGGGUGGAGGGAACUGUCACAUCUGAAUGGACCAGCCUGCAAUCUGGACUCACUGUUCUGGAUAAUUUUCUUUUCUUUUUUGGCCACUCCAUGGCAUAUGGAUUUCCUGGGAUCAGAUCCCAGCCACAAAUUGAGACCUAUGCUGCAGCUUUGGCAAUGCCAGGUCCUAUAACUUGUCGUGCAAGGCCAGGGAUUGAACCUGUGUCUUGGUGCUGCAGAGGCACCACCAGUCCUGUUGUGCCACAUAAGGAACUCCUGUUCUGGAUACUUCUGUUCCCCACCCCCAGCACUGAAACUGAUGUUUAAUGGAAGAAAUCUUUCCCUAACACCCGGUCCUCCAACUUGCUCAGCCAUGGAUAUAAGCUAAUGUGGAUAUUUCAGAACAGACUUGAAGGGAUGUGAGGUGGGGUGGCAUUUGCCUCCCCACUGGUUCUAGGACAGAAUCUCCCUCUCAACCUACUGUCUCUGGUGAACUAAUCACCCUUCAAAACCCAGCUUAAAAGCCCCCAUGGGGGCAAUCCUUCCACCUUUCUGGGUUCCUUCCUCCCUCUGCCUCAGGGCAGGAAAUGUCUAUGCCUUUCUCUGUCUCCCUCCAGGCUGAGACCAUAGCAUUAUCCUCCACCCCCUCAUAGGGCAGGGUACAUGAGAGGAGUUUGCUGAAUCAAACUGACCAGGAGGAAGUAGCCAACACCUACCAGCAUAGAAGGCACCUGGUUCCUCCACAGCUGGCCUUAGGUUGGAGCAAGUGCUGGUCCCAGCCCCCCACCCAGGUCAGACAAUCUCAGAGUAGAUCUCCAUUCAGAAGUGCUUGAUAAAUGUCAGUUUUUCUGAUCACCAUGCAGUUGCCCAGCAAGCUUCAGAGAGAGGCACAAUUUUUACCCCAUUUUUAUGGAUGUCAAAAUCAAGGCCUGCAAAGGUUAUUUGUCUGCUCCCCCUCCCCUCUGAGAGCCUCUCCCCUUCAAAUAAUCUCUCUGAGUGUAUGUCCAGGGCAUAUAUGGGCCUUCUCAAUUUGAACUCAGCUUUGGGAACCCCAGAACCAGAGAGGCCUCUGUCUCCUGCUUCCAAUGCCCAUAAUUCCCCCAGCCCAAUCUUCCAGCUGCCCAGUCACACCCUCAGAGGGUCCCUGACCACCUGGGAAAGGCCAAACCACAUCUCCUUUCCCCCCACCCUGACAUACCCAGACACACCCUGGCCCCUCUCCACCUGGGUACCACACCCCUCUAGCUGGAGGCAGGAGGGGAGAGUAUUUCAACCAGAUGGGACCAGUUUCUGGGCUAGGGGCAGACUGAAGUGGUGAUGGGAGGUGGGAGGGAGAGGGCACCUGAGCUCCAGACUUCUGUUCCCCCACCCCUCCACCGGCCUCUGCUGGCCCUCACCUCCUCCCCCCUUCCCAGCACCUUGGGCAGAUGAGGAUGGGGUUGCCAUGGCAAUGCUGAUUCACCACACGGAAGCUGGCAAUUGUUGUUGCCAUGGAAACCGCCUCUUAGGGGCGAGCCCAGCUCCUGCCUUGCACAAAAGAGAUAUUUAAAUAUAAUCUUCUGGAGAUGGAUGAGUUGAGGGAGGGAGCGAGGGAGGGGGACCAU
Sus scrofa (pig) is the source of this 3050-nucleotide non-coding RNA. The record is from RefSeq and is a predicted model, not a curated record. Lineage: Eukaryota; Metazoa; Chordata; Mammalia; Artiodactyla; Suidae.